UACGUAGGGUGCGAGCGUUAAUCGGAUUUACUGGGCGUAAAGCGUGCGCAGGCGGCCCGUUAAGACAGGUGUGAAAUCCCUGGGCUCAACCUAGGAAUUGCGCUUGUGACUGGCGGGCUCGAGUACGGUAGAGGGGGGUGGAAUUCCUGGUGUAGCAGUGAAAUGCGUAGAUAUAGGGAGGAACACCGGUUGCGAAGGCAGCCCCCUGGGCCUGUACUGACGCUCAUGCACGAAAGCGUGGGGAGCAAACAGG
Molecule: ribosomal RNA, 253 nt
Filed under: uncultured microorganism
Description: partial 16S ribosomal RNA
Rfam family: Bacterial small subunit ribosomal RNA
Source: RNAcentral